Cercocebus atys (sooty mangabey) is the source of this 1264-nucleotide RNA transcript. It is a transcript of the gene named ATP synthase subunit g, mitochondrial pseudogene, with no coding region annotated. The transcript has 2 exons. NCBI's taxonomy places the organism in Eukaryota, Metazoa, Chordata, Mammalia, Primates, Cercopithecidae. The record is from RefSeq and is a predicted model, not a curated record.
AUGGACCACUCACAACCCUCCACCCACCGACACCCUGCAAGGCCACCUGUUGUGGGGGAAACUGUCCCUACAGUUUCCCUGGCUCUUCCACAUCCUAACCAGCUGGCAAACUGGGCAGGGAGCACCUACAGCCUGAACUUCCCCAUCUUUGCCCUCAAGAGGAUGACUGGCACUGGGAAUCUGGACAAGAGGAAGAAGAGCACCCAUGUUCAGGCCAGACUGGAAAAAAGAAAAAACCUCUACCAGCCGUUCGGGGCGACGGACUUUUCAUCCCAGAGUCAUGGCCAAUUUGUCCGUAACCUUGUGGAGAAGACCCCGGCGCUGGUGAACGCUGUUGUGACUUACUCGAAGCCUCGACUGGCCACAUUUUGGUACUACGCCAAGGUUGAGCUGGUUCCUCCCACCCCUGCUGAGAUCCCUACAGCUGUUCAGAGCCUGAAGAAAAUAGUCAUUAGUGCUCAGACUGGUAGCUUCAAACAGCUCACAGUUAAGGAAUCUGUGCUGAAUGGUUUGGUGGCCACUGAGGUGUUGAUAUGGUUUUAUGUUGGAGAGAUCAUAGGCAAGUGUGGCAUCAUUGACUAUGAUGUUUGAAGACCAAUCUUUAACAUCUGAUUAUAUUUGAUUUAUUAUUUGAGUGUUGUUGGACCAUGUGUGAUCAGAGUGCUAUCUGAAUAAAAUAAGAAAAUACAACAACAACAAAAAAUAAAAAACCUCCCAGAGCUAGGGUGCCUUACCCUGGGAUGACCACUAGGGUGGGCAGUCCCAGGUCAGUCCAGGCACGAAUUAACUGCGUGCUUGGCCCAGGGUCUGAGGGGAAGAGGUUGAGGGAAGACUCACCGUUGCGGUGCUGUUUGGGAUCACCUGGAUUAAAACAUCUGGAGCAGGACGGCCAGCUCUUCACAGGAGAAUUUAGAGUGAGAAGGUCUAAGUCACUCAAAACGUGUGUGGAUUUGCCCUAGAUGAGCUGUCACUGCUACCUGCACCACACAUAAAGUUCUGGAACUCUUGACCAGAGAAGGAUAGGAGAGAGUCUUUCUCCCUUCCAGGCAAGGCAGCCAGCUCUGUUGACCCCCUGGCGUUCAAGCAACACCAUGGAGCAGCCCUGGCCAGAUGCCAUCAAUUACCAGAGGGCUACUGGGAGCUGGUUGCUGGAAGGCUGAAAAAGGAAAGUGAAUUUAGGUCCCUCUCCAGAGCAGGUAGUGGUGGUUAGGUACCUCUGAAUGGGCACCUUUCAGUUUCUCUUUUUUUUUUUUUUUUUUUUUUU